AAUAUUGGACAAUGGGGGGAACCCUGAUCCAGCCAUGCCGCGUGUGUGAAGAAGGCCUUAUGGUUGUAAAGCACUUUAAGCGAGGAGGAGGCUACUGAGACUAAUACUCUUGGAUAGUGGACGUUACUCGCAGAAUAAGCACCGGCUAACUCUGUGCCAGCAGCCGCGGUAAUACAGAGGGUGCGAGCGUUAAUCGGAUUUACUGGGCGUAAAGCGUGCGUAGGCGGCUUUUUAAGUCGGAUGUGAAAUCCCCGAGCUUAACUUGGGAAUUGCAUUCGAUACUGGGAAGCUAGAGUAUGGGAGAGGAUGGUAGAAUUCCAGGUGUAGCGGUGAAAUGCGUAGAGAUCUGGAGGAAUACCGAUGGCGAAGGCAGCCAUCUGGCCUAAUACUGACGCUGAGGUACGAAAGCAUGGGGAGCAA
This 420-nucleotide ribosomal RNA is filed under the name uncultured Acinetobacter sp. RNAcentral's name for it is "bacterial SSU rRNA". It matches the Rfam family "Bacterial small subunit ribosomal RNA", at positions 360 to 771 of the family's 1533-position model. The record is from RNAcentral. Lineage: Bacteria; Pseudomonadati; Pseudomonadota; Gammaproteobacteria; Moraxellales; Moraxellaceae.